RNAcentral lists this ribosomal RNA (305 nucleotides) under uncultured bacterium. RNAcentral's name for it is "bacterial SSU rRNA". It matches the Rfam family "Bacterial small subunit ribosomal RNA", at positions 332 to 654 of the family's 1533-position model. The record is from RNAcentral.
CGGGCCUACGGGAGGCAGCAGUGGGGGAUAUUGCACAAUGGGGGAAACCCUGAUGCAGCGACGCCGCGUGGGCGAAGAAGUAUUUCGGUAUGUAAAGCCCUAUCAGCAGGGAAGAAGAAAUGACGGUACCUGAGUAAGAAGCACCGGCUAAAUACGUGCCAGCAGCCGCGGUAAUACGUAUGGUGCAAGCGUUAUCCGGAUUUACUGGGUGUAAAGGGAGCGUAGACGGCUGCGCAAGUCAGAAGUGAAAGCCCGGGGCUCAACCGCGGGACUGCUUUUGAAACUGUGUAGCUAGAGUGCAGGAG